UUCGCAAUGCCCGAAAGGGUGACGAAGCGACGCCGCGUGUGGGAAGAAGGCCUUCGGGUUGUAAACCACUGUCGGGAGUUAAGAAAUGCAAGAAUGUUAAUAGCGUUUUUGCUUGACUAAGGCUCCGGAGGAAGCCACGGCUAACUCUGUGCCAGCAGCCGCGGUAAUACAGAGGCGGCAAGCGUUGUUCGGAAUUAUUGGGCGUAAAGAGCACGUAGGCGGCUAUAUAAGUCGGUUGUGAAAGCCUUCCGCUCAACGGGAGAACAGCAUCCGAUACUGUGUGGCUUGAGUGUGGGAGGGGAGAGCGGAACUUCUGGUGGAGCGGUGAAAUGCGUAGAUAUCAGAAGGAACGCCGGCGGCGAAAGCGGCUCUCUGGCCCAUAACUGACGCUGAGUGUGCGAAAGCUAGGGGAGCAAACGGGAUUAGAUACCCCGGUAGUCCUAGCCGUAAACGAUGGGCACUAAGUAGAGGGGUUU
Molecule: ribosomal RNA, 476 nt
Filed under: uncultured Planctomycetales bacterium
Lineage: Bacteria; Pseudomonadati; Planctomycetota; Planctomycetia; Planctomycetales
Description: bacterial SSU rRNA
Rfam family: Bacterial small subunit ribosomal RNA
Source: RNAcentral